CGGGGUGUGGCGCAGUUGGUAGCGUGCUUGACUGGGGGUCAAGAGGUCGCAAGUUCAAGUCUUGUCACUCCGACGA
RNAcentral lists this transfer RNA (76 nucleotides) under Bacteroidota bacterium. Its description in RNAcentral is "Bacteroidetes bacterium tRNA-Pro". It matches the Rfam family "tRNA". From Rfam's summary of the family: Transfer RNA (tRNA) molecules are approximately 80 nucleotides in length. Their secondary structure includes four short double-helical elements and three loops (D, anti-codon, and T loops). Lineage: Bacteria; Pseudomonadati; Bacteroidota. The record is from RNAcentral.